GGAGAGAUGUCUGAGUGGCUUAAAGAACCGGUCUUGAAAACCGGAGUCCCUUUGCGGGGACCGUGGGUUCGAAUCCCACUCUCUCCUCCA
This 90-nucleotide transfer RNA is filed under the name Oligoflexia bacterium. Its description in RNAcentral is "tRNA-Ser". It matches the Rfam family "tRNA". From Rfam's summary of the family: Transfer RNA (tRNA) molecules are approximately 80 nucleotides in length. Lineage: Bacteria; Pseudomonadati; Bdellovibrionota; Oligoflexia. The record is from RNAcentral.